AUUGAACGCUGGCGGCAGGCCUAACACAUGCAAGUCGAACGGUAACAGGAAGCAGCUUGCUGCUUUGCUGCCGAGUGGCGGCCGGGUGAGUAAUGUCUGGGAAACUGCCUGAUGGAGGGGGAUAACUACUGGAAACGGUAGCUAAUACCGCAUAACGUCGCAAGCCCAAAGAGGGGGACCUUCGGGCCUCUUGCCAUCGGAUGUGCCCAGAUGGGAUUAGCUAGUAGGUGGGGUAACGGCUCACCUAGGCGACGAUCCCUAGCUGGUCUGAGAGGAUGACCAGCCACACUGGAACUGAGACACGGUCCAGACUCCUACGGGAGGCAGCAGUGGGGAAUAUUGCACAAUGGGCGCAAGCCUGAUGCAGCCAUGCCGCGUGUAUGAAGAAGGCCUUCGGGUUGUAAAGUACUUUCAGCGGGGAGGAAGGGAGUAAAGUUAAUACCUUUGCUCAUUGACGUUACCCGCAGAAGAAGCACCGGCUAACUCCGUG
Molecule: ribosomal RNA, 490 nt
Filed under: uncultured bacterium
Lineage: Bacteria
Description: partial 16S ribosomal RNA
Rfam family: Bacterial small subunit ribosomal RNA
Source: RNAcentral